This is a long non-coding RNA of Rhopilema esculentum, 565 nucleotides long. RefSeq lists it as uncharacterized. The record is from RefSeq and is a predicted model, not a curated record. NCBI's taxonomy places the organism in Eukaryota, Metazoa, Cnidaria, Scyphozoa, Rhizostomeae, Rhizostomatidae.
CAGGGAGGAACAUUAAAUAGUUUCGCAAGAAAGAACAUUAAACAGUUUCGCAGGAAGGAACAUCAAAUAGUUUCGCAGGAAGGAACAUCAAAUAGUUUCGCAAGAAGGAAUACCAAACAGUUUCGCAGGAAGGAGCAUCAAACAGUUUCGCAAGAAGGAAUACCAAACAGUUUCGCAGGAAGGAGCAUCAAACAGUUUCGCAAGAAGGAACAUCAAAAAGUUUCGCAAGAAGGAACAUCAAAUAGUUUUGCAAGAAAGAAUACCAAACAGUUUCGCAGAAAGGAACAUCAAACAGUUUCGCAGGAAGGAACAUCAAAUAGUUUCGCAGGAAGGAACAUAAAAAACCAACACAGUGUAAACUUGUAGCUAUUUAUUUUAAAGUCGUAGAUACAUUAAGGUGGCAGAAUUAAUUUCUACAAGUGCAUGAAACGCAAUAUUUACAGCUAAAGGAAUUCCCGACAAAAACAUAGAUUUUUAAUAGACACAAUACUGUCAUAACUUCGUGUACAUAAAACAUAGCUGGAAUUGGAAGGGAUUCAAAUGAAUUUGCAUUUUCUGACGCAAU